This 490-nucleotide ribosomal RNA is filed under the name uncultured bacterium. Its description in RNAcentral is "partial 16S ribosomal RNA". It matches the Rfam family "Bacterial small subunit ribosomal RNA", at positions 30 to 507 of the family's 1533-position model. The record is from RNAcentral.
AUUGAACGCUGGCGGCAGGCCUAACACAUGCAAGUCGAACGGUAACAGGAAGAAGCUUGCUUCUUUGCUGACGAGUGGCGGACGGGUGAGUAAUGUCUGGGAAACUGCCUGAUGGAGGGGGAUAACUACUGGAAACGGUAGCUAAUACCGCAUAACGUCGCAAGACCAAAGAGGGGGACCUUCGGGCCUCUUGCCAUCGGAUGUGCCCAGAUGGGAUUAGCUAGUAGGUGGGGUAACGGCUCACCUAGGCGGCGAUCCCUAACUGGUCUGAGAGGAUGACCAGCCACACUGGAACUGAGACACGGUCCAGACUCCUACGGGAGGAAGCAGUGGGGAAUAUUGCACAAUGGGCGCAAGCCUGAUGCAGCCAUGCCGCGUGUAUGCAGAAGGCCUUCGGGUUGUAAAGUACUUUAAGCGGGGAGGAAGGGAGUAAAGUUAAUACCUUUGCUCAUUGACGUUACCCGCAGAAGAAGCACCGGCUAACUCCGUG